This 30-nucleotide non-coding RNA is filed under the name Mus musculus (house mouse). Lineage: Eukaryota; Metazoa; Chordata; Mammalia; Rodentia; Muridae. The record is from RNAcentral.
AGUUCUGCUAACUGACGUCUAUCUUGCCAA